RNAcentral lists this long non-coding RNA (901 nucleotides) under Panax ginseng (ginseng). RNAcentral describes it as "long non-coding RNA (PGIN_LNC013957)". The record is from RNAcentral. Lineage: Eukaryota; Viridiplantae; Streptophyta; Magnoliopsida; Apiales; Araliaceae.
UCUCCUCUUGCAAGCAAGCUAUGAGCUGUUCCAUAUCUGCCACCUUCUCACCUAUUCACGAGCUUAUUUAAAGUCUUCAAUAUAUUAUAAAUAACCAUAUAUCGAUCUUUGUAUACAAUUAAUUAAAAGAUCCAAAAAAACCAAGAUUUUAAUUACUUGACUUCUAGAUGUCGUCUACUACUACACUACAUGUCUACAUUGUACUAUACUUUUACCUUCUCCUCUUCUUGUUUCCUAUAGAAGAAGCAAUGGCCGGCCGGUCAAUCGCCGGACGGCGAGUUAUACCGUCAAGUGGUCCUAGCACAAUGAUACCAAUAUUGGCCUCAGAAGCCCCGGAAUCUGCAACAAUGAAGAUGAAGCCGCGAUUGAAUAAGGAAGGAAAGAUUUUUCAUGGGAAGGAAGUGAAGGCAUGCAUGCCUAAGGGUCGUCGCCGUUCGUCAGCUCCGAGCCGAUUCGUAAACUUUCACACAUUUGAUGAUUUAUUGGGUUGUGAAACUGUCCGCAGACAAUUCAGGAAUCCUUGAUUGAUGACUUGUUCAGGGUUAUCACGAACUGUAUUUAUAUAUUCUGCUUAAUUAAUUUACACAUACCAGUUAACUAUAUAUAUAUCGUUCUGUGUAAGACGAGAACUAAUAUAUUUUGUACAUUUUACGCGUACUCAAUUUCGUUUCGUGUACUUAAUUUAUAAGCUAGCGUUCCUGAUAACUCUGGUUCAGAUCGAAGCAUAAAUAUAGAUAUUGAUUAAAUUGAAUUGAUGAUAAUAUUGUACAUGUUCGUAAUUAAGCAGUUUGAGGGUGAGCAAAAUUAUGAAAGAAUUUUAUUAGUUAUAGUUUCUUUAUAAAAUAUAGUUUUGUAUUGGUGACUUGCAAUAUUAAUUGAACUUACUGUAUUAUUAUUUUUU